GGGGAAUAUUGCGCAAAGGGGGAAACCCUGACGCAGCAAUAUCGCGUGAGUGAAGAAGGUUCUCGGAUCGUAAAGCUCGUUAACUGGGGAAGUAAAAAAGCUGGAACACAAAAAGAAAGUACCGCCUAACUACGCGCCAGCAGCCGCGGUAAUACGUAGGGGACAAGCGUUGUCCGGAUUUACUGGGCGUAAAGGGCACGCAGGCGGUUUUUUAAGUCAGAUGUGAAAGGUACCGGCUCAACCGGUGACAUGCAUUUGAAACUGAAAGACUUGAGUAUUGGAGAGGCAAGUGGAAUUCCUAGUGUAGCGGUGAAAUGCGUAGAUAUUAGGAGGAACACCGGUGGCGAAGGCGGCUUGCUGGACAAAUACUGACGCUGAGGUGCGAAAGCGUGGGGAGCAAACA
This 403-nucleotide ribosomal RNA is filed under the name uncultured Acetobacterium sp. RNAcentral describes it as "bacterial SSU rRNA". It matches the Rfam family "Bacterial small subunit ribosomal RNA", at positions 356 to 774 of the family's 1533-position model. Lineage: Bacteria; Bacillati; Bacillota; Clostridia; Eubacteriales; Eubacteriaceae. The record is from RNAcentral.